AUUAUGACAUACAACAUAUUUUUAUUAAGUACAAUGUUUGUUGUAGGUUUUGUGGGUUUCUCUUCAAAACCUUUGCCAGUUUUGGGGGGUUUGGGUUAAUUAUUAGUGGAAGGGUGGGUUGUGGUAUUGUAUUAAAGGUCAGUGGUGCAUUUAUAGGAUUAGGAGUAUUUUUAAUUUAUUUGGGGGAAUGAUAGUGAUGUUUGGAUGUACCGCGGCAACAGCUACUGAGGGUUAUCCUGAGGCUUGGGGUCUAAUGUUGUUAUUUGAGGGCUUUAAUUGAUGGGGCUGUUGCUAGAGUUAGUUAUAAUUGCAUGAACAGCAGGGCAUGAUAAGGUAGAGAUUGAUUUUAAAAAGACUUCUUGGUGAAGACUGUAGGUAUAGCUAUACAGGUAUACAGUUAUGGUAGUUGGUUGAUGGUGGUGGCUGGUUGAUCUUUAUUUGUUAGGAUUUUUAUUGUAACUGAAGUUACUCAAGGGUAUUGA
Molecule: long non-coding RNA, 482 nt
Filed under: Homo sapiens (human)
Lineage: Eukaryota; Metazoa; Chordata; Mammalia; Primates; Hominidae
Description: non-protein coding lnc-LRRC3-4:1
Source: RNAcentral